AGUGUUUUGGAAUUUAUUGCCAAAAAGGAAGGACUUCAAUUUCCACAGGGUUUUGCAGCCCGCAUUGUGGAAAAGUCAAAUAGGAAUCUGAGAAGGGCAGUUUUAACAUUUGAGUCUUGCCGUGUUCAACAGUAUCCCUUUACAAACAACCAAACUGUACCUCCAAUGGACUGGGAGCAAUAUGUUUCAGAAAUUGCAUCAGACAUAAUGAAAGAGCAGAGCCCUAAAAGGUUAUUUGAGGUAAGAGGAAAGUUAUAUGAGCUUCUAACUAAUUGUAUUCCCCCUGAAAUUAUUUUGAAGAGGCUACUUUUUGAACUAUUAAAGA
This 325-nucleotide unclassified non-coding RNA is filed under the name Hevea brasiliensis (rubber tree). The record is from RNAcentral. Lineage: Eukaryota; Viridiplantae; Streptophyta; Magnoliopsida; Malpighiales; Euphorbiaceae.